GAUGAACGCUGGCGGCGUGCCUAAUACAUGCAAGUCGAGCGGACGGACGAGAUGGGUUCUUCACUGAUGUUAACGGCGGACGUGUUAGUAACACGUGUAUAAGCUACCGAUAGGACUGGAAGAGCUUCGGUUAAUCGUAGCGAAUACCGGAUACUAUUGUAAACCGCAGGGUUCAAAACUUUAAGACGAUCUUGCUGUCACUGGUAGAUGGAUCCGCGCUUGAUUAGCUAGUUGGUAAGGUAACGGCUUACUAAGGCGACGAUGCGUAGCCGACCUGAGAGGGUGAUCGGCCACACUGGGACUGAGACACGGCCCAGACUCCUACGGGAGGCAGCAGUAGGGAAUUUUCCGCAAUGGGCGCAAGCCUGACGGAGCAACGCCGCGUGAGUGAUGAAGGUCUUCGGAUCGUAAAACUCUGUUAUUAGGGACGAAAAUCUGUGUAAGUAAAUGUGAACAUCUUGACGGUACCUAAACAGAAAGCCACGGCUAACUACGUG
RNAcentral lists this ribosomal RNA (497 nucleotides) under uncultured bacterium. RNAcentral's name for it is "partial 16S ribosomal RNA". It matches the Rfam family "Bacterial small subunit ribosomal RNA", at positions 28 to 507 of the family's 1533-position model. The record is from RNAcentral.